UUGUCUCAAAGAUUAAGCCAUGCAUGUCUAAGUACAAGCCUCACUAAGGUGAAACCGCGAAUGGCUCAUUAAAUCACACCUAAUCUACUGGAUAGUCAACAGUUACUUGGAUAACUGCGGUAAUUCUGGAGCUAAUACAUGCACAAAGCCCCAAACUUACGUGAGGGGCGCUUUUAUUAGAUCAAAACCAAACGGCUUCGGCUGUUCUCUUGGUGACUCUGAAUAACUUUGGGCUGAUCGCAUAGCCUAGCGCUGGCGACAUAUCCUUCGAAGGUGUGCCCUAUCAACUGUCGACUGUGGCAUAGACGCCCACAGUGGUUUUGACGGGUAACGGGGAAUCAGGGUUCGAUUCCGGAGAGGGAGCCUUAAAAACGGCUACCACAUCUAAGGAAGGCAGCAGGCACGCAAAUUACCCAAUGACCGAAGGUCGAGGUAGUGACGAAAAAUAACGAUACGGGACUCAUCCGAGGCCCCGUAAUCGGAAUGAGUACACUUUAAAACCGUCCCCGAGGAUCUAUUGGAGGGCAAGUCUGGUGCCAGCAGCCGCGGUAAUUCCAGCUCCAAUAGCGUAUAUUAAAGUUGUUGUGGUUAAAAAGCUCGUAGUUGGAUCUCGGCAGUCCGAGGGCGGUUCGCUUGCUAGUGUUACUGCCUUAUGGACUGUAGUUUUGCCAGAGGUCUCGGGGUGCUCUUAACCGAGUGUCUCGUGAUGCUGGCAGGUUUACUUUGAAAAAAUUAGAGUGCUCAAAGCAGGCUUUUACGCCUGAAUAUUCGUGCAUGGAAUAAUGGAAUAGGAAGUCGUUUCUAUUUUGUUGGUUUUCGGAAAUCGACUUAAUGAUUAACAGGGACAGUCGGGGGCAUUUGUAUUCAAACGACAGAGGUGAAAUUCUUGGACCGUUUGAAGACAAACUACUGCGAAAGCAUUUGCCAAGAAUGUUUUCAUUAAUCAAGAACGAAAGUUAGAGGUUCGAAGGCGAUUAGAUACCGCCCUAGUUCUAACCAUAAACGAUGCCAGCUAGCGAUCUGCCGACGUUUUUUUUGUAGACUCGGCAGGAAGCUUCCGGGAAACCAAAGCAUUUGGGUUCCAGGGGAAGUAUGGUUGCAAAGCUGAAACUUAAAGGAAUUGACGGAAGGGCACCACCAGGAGUGGAGCCUGUGGCUUAAUUUGACUCAACACGGGAAAUCUCACCAGGCCCGGACACUGGAAGGAUUGACAGAUUGAUAGCUCUUUCUUGAUUCGGUGGGUGGUGGUGCAUGGCCGUUCUUAGUUGGUGGAGUGAUUUGUCUGGUUAAUUCCGAUAACGAACGAGACUCUGUCCUGCUAAAUAGUGUCGGCCUCUCUUUUGGGCAGACAAUUCUUCUUAGAGGGACUGGCAACUCUCAGUUGCACGAGAUUGAGCAAUAACAGGUCUGUGAUGCCCUUAGAUGCUCUGGGCCGCACACGCGCUACACUGAAUAGAUCAACGUGUUCUCCCUUUCCGAGAGGAACGGGUAAACCGCUGAACCCUAUUCGUGGUAGGGAUCGGGGCUUGCAAUUGUUCCCCGUAAACCAGGAAUUCCCAGUAGGCGCAAGUCAUAAGCUUGUGUCGAUUACGUCCCUGCCCUUUGUACACACCGCCCGUCGCUACUACCGAUUGAACGUUUUAGUGAGGUCCUCGGACUGUUUGGUAGGCGGA
RNAcentral lists this ribosomal RNA (1673 nucleotides) under Mimocalanus sp. 2 MB-2017. Its description in RNAcentral is "SSU rRNA". It matches the Rfam family "Eukaryotic small subunit ribosomal RNA". Lineage: Eukaryota; Metazoa; Arthropoda; Copepoda; Calanoida; Spinocalanidae. The record is from RNAcentral.